AAACACUUUUUGCACCCACUUUUUAUAUUUGUGAGGGAAAAAAAUCAACUUGGUCAAUGACUCGUAUUCUCCAAUUGGGAAUUGAGGAGACUAAUUUAAUUUAAAAAUAAUUUCUCCUUCUUUCUCUCCUCCUCAUUAUUUACCAGGGAUUGAACUCUGGGCAUAUAACCACAUCACACCUCCAGCUCUUUUUCUUUUUUAUUUUAAGACAGAGUCUUGCUCAGUUGCUUAGGGCCUUGCGGAGUUGCUGAGGCUGGCUUUGAACUCAUGAUCUUUCCGUCUUAGACUAUUUUUAUUUUUUGACCACAUAAAUAACUUAAGGAUAAUCUUAAAAAUUUGAAAAAAGAAAAGAUACAUGAAGAUGAAAUCCGUUGUAUUAUGACUUGCUCUCUCUUUACAUACAUAUGUAAAUUUUUAGUAAAAAAAUACAUAUUGA
Molecule: long non-coding RNA, 436 nt
Filed under: Marmota monax (woodchuck)
Lineage: Eukaryota; Metazoa; Chordata; Mammalia; Rodentia; Sciuridae
Source: RNAcentral